UGGGAGGGCCUCAAACCCAUGGAUCAGAGGAGGCUCGCUGCCGUCAGAGGCGUCGGACAAGUGAGGUGACCUCGAACCCCCGGAUCUAGGGUGAGUUCAGUGCAGAUGGAGGCGAGGAAUGAGUAGGUCAACCUUUGGGUGGAGUAGCGGAGCAGCAGCAAAGACAGAGCUCGUCGUCACUCGAUACUUCUACGCCACCCUAGCCCAUGUCUGAUAAACAUGCAAAAUCAUUGUUACUUUUUUUGAGUCUUCUCAAAUGACCUAUUGGCCAGGACUCCCAUGCAUGGUCAGCCUCGACCAUGAGUGCCUCCCACAAUUCUUCGGUCCCGAGAGAGCAAAUAAGGAGCUUCGGCUGGAUACAAGGCUAGCUCCUAUUCUUGAGGCUCUCAAACUGACUUUCGUCCAGCACAUUGAAGACAUUGUAGAUGAGCUUGCAAAGGAAUUAAGGUUUUCCUUCUCUAGAUCUCACAAUUGUCUCCUUUCUUAUUUGANNNNNNNNNNNNNNNNNNNNGGCUGGAUCAAGGCUAGCUCCUAUUCUUGAGGCUCUCAAACUGACUUUCGUCCAGCACAUUGAAGACAUUGUAGAUGAGCUUGCAAAGGAAUUAAGGUUUUCCUUCUCUAGAUCUCACAAUUGUCUCCUUUCUUAUUUGAAUCCUGCCAAAAAUUCAAAUUUAAAGUUUGAACACAGACUAGAAGGCAAAAAUAAUUUGGAAAACAAGGGAUUUCCGUAAUCUGCUUCUCUAUUUUAUUGAUUCCCCCAUCUUCGUUACAAGUAGGUAGUGAGCACUGCACCAUAGAGGUCGGGGUUAGCAUAGGUGCGGAAGCAAGAUGUGUCUCCCGCUGCACGUCAUUGCUCCGCCGCAUCAUUUGGAUCGCAGCGGUCUAGAUGUAUACUCGCUAAAUCGGCACACUGAACUGAUCCACGCUUAUCUCCAUGGCUGACAGAGAUGGUAGUGCUGGUGGUGAUGGCGACGCAGGGGCCUCACUACCAGCACGGGCUCUUUAUUUCUGGAAGAGGCGUCAUUGGAAUGCCGUGAAGAAACUGUGGCGCCAUCUCAU
Molecule: long non-coding RNA, 1059 nt
Filed under: Elaeis guineensis (African oil palm)
Lineage: Eukaryota; Viridiplantae; Streptophyta; Magnoliopsida; Arecales; Arecaceae
Description: long non-coding RNA (EGUI_LNC028272)
Source: RNAcentral